UACGAAGGUCCCGAGCGUUAUCCGGAUUCAUUGGGUUUAAAGGGUGCGUAGGUGGAAUAAUAAGUCAGUGGUGAAAUCUUGCAGCUUAACUGUAAAACUGCCAUUGAUACUGUUGUUCUUGAGUAUAGUUGAUGUGGGCGGAAUAUGUCAUGUAGCGGUGAAAUGCUUAGAUAUGACAUAGAACACCGAUUGCGAAGGCAGCUCACAAAGCUAUUACUGACACUGAGGCACGAAAGCGUGGGGAUCAAACAGG
Molecule: ribosomal RNA, 253 nt
Filed under: uncultured bacterium
Lineage: Bacteria
Description: partial 16S ribosomal RNA
Rfam family: Bacterial small subunit ribosomal RNA
Source: RNAcentral